AGCCCGUUAGCUCAGUUGGUUGUGAGCGUCGUGCUAAUAACGCGAAGGUCGCGGGUUCGAUCCCAUCACGGGCCA
RNAcentral lists this transfer RNA (75 nucleotides) under Trichonephila inaurata madagascariensis. It matches the Rfam family "tRNA". From Rfam's summary of the family: Transfer RNA (tRNA) molecules are approximately 80 nucleotides in length. Their secondary structure includes four short double-helical elements and three loops (D, anti-codon, and T loops). Further hydrogen bonds mediate the characteristic L-shaped molecular structure. tRNAs have two regions of fundamental functional importance: the anti-codon, which is responsible for specific mRNA codon recognition, and the 3' end, to which the tRNAs corresponding amino acid is attached (by aminoacyl-tRNA synthetases). tRNAs cope with the degeneracy of the genetic code in two manners: having more than one tRNA (with a specific anti-codon) for a particular amino acid; and 'wobble' base-pairing, i.e. permitting non-standard base-pairing at the 3rd anti-codon position. Lineage: Eukaryota; Metazoa; Arthropoda; Arachnida; Araneae; Nephilidae. The record is from Rfam by way of RNAcentral.